GCCUGAGUAGCCGUAGUGUCAGCAACGGAAUCAAAGGUGAAGUUAUGGCCAUUGAUGGACAAUGAAUCAUUGGAAACCUUUUGAACAGUGGGAUCUCCUUCGUCCUUAUAGGGACAGAGCGGGGAAGUCAGAUAGAAGACAUUAGAAAAGUAAGAAGUCGAAAAGAGUAAUAGGCGAAAGCAACCUUGACGGAAUCGGAGGAUGCAGGGAGGGAAUUGUCGGUCAGGGCAUAGUGUUUCUCAAUUCUUACCCUUCCUUUGACACUGACAAUAAAAAAUUGUUAAUUGAAUAAAUUGAAAAGAGAAUACAAAAAGGUUUUUUACCUUGUCCAAUAUUGUAGGCUACUCAGUGACCUUAAGUUCCAUGGCAGCUGCAUCUUUGAACUACUUUUUAUAUUUUUCCCCUAUUAGACAAAAAUUUCAAAGGUCAUCAAUAAACCAAAAUGCUACAAAUAGAGAUCCAAAGGCACACACCUUAAAGAAUGGUGAAAGGCCAAAUGUUAAGGCACCAUGAUUCUUGAGCAAAUAGAGGUAGUCCACCUUACUUCAUCUCUGCUCUUUAUAUGUCCUUUCAUUCAUUCGAGUGGAGAACUUGGCAUACAUUAUAAAUGACUACUAAAUGCUAUUCAAGCCGACUUUUAAGUUCCUAUUACAUGUAACAGUCAGUAGCCACCAUCUAACAACCAAACUUCUAAACACAUAGAAAAGAAUAAACUUCCCUAUAAACCAGAAAGCAAGCAAUUGGAAAAGUCAAGUUAUUGCUUUUCUAUUGGCUUACAACUUUGAUAUCAGAGAGAAUAUUAUGAACUUCGAUAUUUGGCUUUUCCUUCUUUCGAUAAGUCAACUACAUUAUUCCAAAGAAGAUUAAUUCCAACCACCAAUAUGAAAAUUGAAAAAUCUUCAACCAUCAACUACUAAUUAAGUUCGUGUGAAGCAGAGAAAUAACAGAGGCAGAGAAUCAUUAUAGGGUUUCAAAAGAAUUUCAAUAUUUAAAAUUAAGAAAAAAUUAUCAAUACUGCAAUAAUGUACAGGUGUGUAAAUUGAAAAUGCGACAUUCAACAAAUAUGCAAUCACUGAAACAUGCAUGUAGAAAUGAAUUAGCACUAUAAGGAAGAACAAAACUGAAACCAUGGAGCUCUAAUCCAACAGCCAUGGCAGGUUAGGACACUGGAAGGAAAAAGAAAAUUGAAAGCAUAUGGUAGUUGUAGAGUGAGAGUGAGCGAGAGUGAGGGGAGGCAGUUACGGGUGAGGAGGAAGAGAGGCAACUGCGAGCGAGAGUGAUGGGAAGCCGUUAAGCCAGUAAGCGAGAGUCAGGGAGCAGAGAGGGUAGUUGCGAGAGUGAGGAAGGUCAGAGAUUUUACCUUGUUUGGAGCUCGAAUAGGGUUUUCGUCUUGACAUUAGCAACGAGCCACUCUCCGAACUGUCUCUUCUUCUUUUGCACUCUCCCUUCCAUGGUUUGGCUCAGGAACCCUAGAAGAAAGGUUUGCGCUUGAGGACCCAAUAAGAUCUGAUGUGUGGCUGAGCGAGAGGGAGGGAGUACGAGUGCAGCACGAGAAUUAAUGAAGAAGAUGAAGAAGUGACCUGAGAAAGAUGACGAAGUGAUUCAGUGAGAGACCAAGAUGAAUUCGCGAGAGGGAACGAAAGUCUAAGAAGAGGGAAAAAUGUUAGUAUUUUCGAGAGAGGGGG
Molecule: long non-coding RNA, 1685 nt
Filed under: Vigna radiata
Lineage: Eukaryota; Viridiplantae; Streptophyta; Magnoliopsida; Fabales; Fabaceae
Description: long non-coding RNA (VRAD_LNC000621)
Source: RNAcentral